RNAcentral lists this unclassified non-coding RNA (250 nucleotides) under Hevea brasiliensis (rubber tree). Lineage: Eukaryota; Viridiplantae; Streptophyta; Magnoliopsida; Malpighiales; Euphorbiaceae. The record is from RNAcentral.
GAAGCAAAGGAACAACCUGGGAGGAGAUUCUUAGGGCACGGCGGAGCUGAUCGGUGAUAGAGAGGAACAGGGUGGAGACUAAUGAGAGGGAUUCAAAGUGACAAUGGUGGUCGAGGGAAUUGAAAACCAAUUCCCAGCAUUCCUGUGGCAAAUCCACGGAUUUCUCAGUCAUCUUGUCGUGUGGAUUGAGAGAUGGGAUGGGGAGGAGGCGUAGAGAGCAGAGAAUAGAUGGGAUUCUGAGAUUUGAGCG